RNAcentral lists this ribosomal RNA (497 nucleotides) under uncultured bacterium. RNAcentral's name for it is "partial 16S ribosomal RNA". It matches the Rfam family "Bacterial small subunit ribosomal RNA", at positions 28 to 507 of the family's 1533-position model. The record is from RNAcentral.
GAUGAACGCUGGCGGCGUGCCUAAUACAUGCAGGUCGAGCGAACGGACGAGAAGCUUGCUUCUCUGAUGUUAGCGGCGGACGGGUGAGUAACACGUGGAUAACCUACCUAUAAGACUGGGAUAACUUCGGGAAACCGGAGCUAAUACCGGAUAAUAUUUUGAACCGCAUGGUUCAAAAGUGAAAGACGGUCUUGCUGUCACUUAUAGAUGGAUCCGCGCUGCAUUAGCUAGUUGGUAAGGUAACGGCUUACCAAGGCAACGAUGCAUAGCCGACCUGAGAGGGUGAUCGGCCACACUGGAACUGAGACACGGUCCAGACUCCUACGGGAGGCAGCAGUAGGGAAUCUUCCGCAAUGGGCGAAAGACUGACGGAGCAACGCCGCGUGAGUGAUGAAGGUCUUCGGAUCGUAAAACUCUGUUAUUAGGGAAGAACAUAUGUGUAAGUAACUGUGCACAUCUUGACGGUACCUAAUCAGAAAGCCACGGCUAACUACGUG